RNAcentral lists this ribosomal RNA (253 nucleotides) under uncultured bacterium. Its description in RNAcentral is "partial 16S ribosomal RNA". It matches the Rfam family "Bacterial small subunit ribosomal RNA", at positions 524 to 776 of the family's 1533-position model. The record is from RNAcentral.
UACGGAGGGUGCAAGCGUUAUCCGGAUUCACUGGGUUUAAAGGGUGCGUAGGCGGAUUGGUAAGUCCGUGGUGAAAUCCCCGAGCUUAACUUGGGAACUGCCGUGGAUACUAUCAGUCUUGAAUAUCGUGGAGGUAAGCGGAAUAUGUCAUGUAGCGGUGAAAUGCUUAGAUAUGACAUAGAACACCAAUUGCGAAGGCAGCUUACUACGGAUUGAUUGACACUGAGGCACGAAAGCGUGGGGAUCAAACAGG